RNAcentral lists this unclassified non-coding RNA (224 nucleotides) under plant metagenome. RNAcentral's name for it is "partial contains small subunit ribosomal RNA, internal transcribed spacer 1, and 5.8S ribosomal RNA". The record is from RNAcentral.
UCUCCGUUGGUGAACCAGCGGAGGGAUCAUUACAGGACUCGCAAGACUCCUUCACCCUGUGAACCUCACUACAAGCACGUUGCUUCGGCGGGUGUCCCGGCGGGGGUUUUCCCUCGCCGGGGCGCACAGCCCGCCGGCAGCCUACUAUACUCUGUCUCUUUGCGUUGGCAUCUCGAGGAAAAACAAACAAGUUAAAACUUUCAACAACGGAUCUCUUGGUUCUG